RNAcentral lists this long non-coding RNA (394 nucleotides) under Monodelphis domestica (gray short-tailed opossum). Its description in RNAcentral is "lncRNA (ENSMODG00000040386.1)". Lineage: Eukaryota; Metazoa; Chordata; Mammalia; Didelphimorphia; Didelphidae. The record is from RNAcentral.
UCUCAACUCAGUGAAAAUUUUUGAAGGCAAGACUGGCCCUAGUAAAAAUUGUGAAGCUGGAAAAGUUUUUCUCUCCUUCCUACCCUCUCUGUGUUGGAGCUCUUGACUCUUUUAAAUUGUUCUUUCCAGUUUAACCUUCUGUCACUACUUAUUCUCAGAUCCUUCAUUCAUACCCCUCCUACAGGCAUUUGAAUUUUCAGAAAUCAAAGCUUAAACUCAAAGGGGAGGAUUUGACAAUGGAAUUUCAGGUUGUACUCAGCAAGGAUGGAAGGAAUGGAAAGGAUCUGGGGUAAAGGGAUUAGAGACUCUGACCAUGGGAAUUUUGAAAGAUCAGAAGUAUAAUACUCUAGGUGUUUCAGCAUCCCAGAAUCCUAACCAAAUGCCUAAUGGAUAG